AAAGUCGUAACAAGGUAACCGUAGGUGAACCUGCGGUUGGAUCAUUAAAGAAUUAUGGAUUUGUUGGGUGGGGUUGCGGCUCCAUCCUUCAAACUCAUAUCCACCUCUCUGUGCAAUGUUUCCUGUAUUUUGGCGGUCCACAAACAUGGGAGAAAUUAGGUGUUUAUCACCUUAUUUCUUUCGGACCGCCAGCAUUUUUGAAAAACUCUUGUGUUAUGUUUUUGUGUGAUUGAAUGCCUCUUUACGGAGGUUUCUAAAUUUGAAAACAACUUUUGACAACGGAUCUCUUGGCUCUC
Molecule: unclassified non-coding RNA, 296 nt
Filed under: Chytridiomycota sp.
Lineage: Eukaryota; Fungi; Chytridiomycota
Description: partial contains small subunit ribosomal RNA, internal transcribed spacer 1, and 5.8S ribosomal RNA
Rfam family: Eukaryotic small subunit ribosomal RNA (bases 1-47)
Source: RNAcentral